AUGGUACCGUCUACAAAGGGAUUUAUCGGAUCUCCAUGUAGUUGCCAUCAAGAAGCUAAGGUGGUGGUGCAGAAAGAGAUUGAUGAGUUUAUUAAUGAGGUUGCUAUCUUGUCCCAAGUCAACCAUAGAAAUGUGGUAAAACUCUAUGGUUGUUGCCUUGAAACAGAGGUCCCAAUGUUGGUCUACGAGUUUGUAUCCAAUGGGACCCUUUAUGAUCAUGUUCAUGUCAGGUCAUUGUCGUGGGAUGACAGGCUACGCAUAGCAACUGAAACAGCCAAAUCUCUUGCUUACCUUCACUCGUCCGUCUCAAUACCCAUCAUCCAUAGAGAUAUCAAGUCUGUUAACAUACUUUUGGAUGAUACUUUAACAGCAAAGGUAGCGGAUUUUGGAGCUUCAAGGUACAUUCCAAUGGAGCAAUCAGGGGUAACAACAAUGGUGCAAGGUACAAUAGGAUAUUUAGAUCCUAUGUACUUCUACACAUCGCGCCUCACAGAUAAGAGUGAUGUGUAUAGCUUUGGUGUCAUUCUUGUAGAAUUGUUGACUCGAAAGAAGCCCUUUUCAUACAUGUCCUCUGGAGGUGAUAGCCUUGUUGCAAAUUUUGUUACCCUGCUUGCAGAAGGUAGCUUAUUGCAGAUAUUAGAUCCACGAGUGAUCGAAGAGGGAGGCAUAGAAGUUGAAGAAGUUGCUAAGCUUGCGGUAACAUGUGUGAAAAUUAAAGGAGAGGAUCGUCCAACCAUGAGGCAAGUGGAAAUGACACUAGAAGGCCUUCAAACAUCCAUGGACCAUGUUCUAGAUGGUCAAGUGGCCAGGGAAUUUGAGAAGGUUGACGUUGCAAUAAUUCCACCAUCAACUAAUAGUACCGAAAGAAACAAUGAUGAUUCAACAAGACAAUACAGCUUAGAACAUGAGUUCAUGUUAUCCUCAAGGUACCCUCGGUAG
Molecule: ribosomal RNA, 939 nt
Filed under: Triticum aestivum (bread wheat)
Lineage: Eukaryota; Viridiplantae; Streptophyta; Magnoliopsida; Poales; Poaceae
Description: partial small subunit ribosomal RNA
Source: RNAcentral